This is a small nucleolar RNA of Suricata suricatta (meerkat), 138 nucleotides long. Its record names the gene SNORA70. It matches the Rfam family "Small nucleolar RNA SNORA70". From Rfam's summary of the family: snoRNA U70 seems to be exclusive to mammals and is a member of the H/ACA class of snoRNA which contain H (ANANNA) and ACA box motifs. H/ACA box snoRNAs are involved in the conversion of uridines to pseudouridines (5-ribosyluracil) a constituent of structural RNAs (transfer, ribosomal, small nuclear, and small nucleolar). Lineage: Eukaryota; Metazoa; Chordata; Mammalia; Carnivora; Herpestidae. The record is from Ensembl.
GUGUUUUAUAUUUUAACAACUUGUGCUUUUUCCCCUUGGUGGCCCCAUGUGCCGUGGCUGCAAACAGUAGGCUCCUUGGGAGUGUAUACAGCCUUGUGACUGAAUGAGUUACCCUAAUUAGGGACCUUGGAGACAGCC